UCGGGAAUUUUGGGCAAUGGGCGAAAGCCUGACCCAGCAACGCCGCGUGAGGGAUGAAGUAUUUCGGUAUGUAAACCUCGAAAGAAUGGGAAGAAUAAAUGACGGUACCAUUUAUAAGCUCCGGCUAACUACGUGCCAGCAGCCGCGGUAAUACGUAGGGAGCAAGCGUUGUUCGGAUUUACUGGGCGUAAAGGGCGCGUAGGCGGCGCGGUAAGUCACUUGUGAAAUCUCUGAGCUUAACUCAGAACGGCCAAGUGAUACUGCUGUGCUAGAGUGCGGAAGAGGCAACCGGAAUUCUUGGUGUAGCGGUGAAAUGCGUAGAUAUCAAGAGGAACACCUGAGGCGAAGGCGGGUUGCUGGGCCGACAAUGACGCUGAUGCGCGAAAGCCAG
This 391-nucleotide ribosomal RNA is filed under the name uncultured bacterium. RNAcentral's name for it is "bacterial SSU rRNA". It matches the Rfam family "Bacterial small subunit ribosomal RNA", at positions 355 to 763 of the family's 1533-position model. The record is from RNAcentral.